UCCUGACCUCGGAUCAGACGUGAAUACCCGCUGAACUUAAGCAUAUCACUAAGCGGAGGAAAAGAAACUAACCAGGAUUCCCUUAGUAACGGCGAGUGAACAGGGAAAAGCCCAGCACCGAAGCCUGCGGCCGUUUGGUCUCUAGGCAAUGUGGUGUUCAGGUCUGCUCGCGGAGAUGCCGCUCCACCCUAAGUCCUGUAAUGAGUAAGGUUACUUGACUUGGCCCGUAGAGGGUGAAAGGCCCGUGAGGGUGGAGGCGCAGAUUGGUCGGUGUCUCUAUGAGUGGACCUUGGAGUCGGGUUGUUUGUGAAUGCAGCCCAAAGUGGGUGGUAAACUCCAUCCAAGGCUAAAUACUGGCACGAGUCCGAUAGCGAACAAGUACCGUGAGGGAAAGUUGAAAAGUACUUUGAAGAGAGAGUAAACAGUGCGUGAAACCGCUCAAAGGUAAACGGGUGGAGUUGAACUGCAAACUCCGGGAAUUCAACUGGUGAGUGUGAUGUGAGCUUGGCGCACGGUUGUAUGUUCGGGUCUGCUUAACUGCAGGUUCCUGCCUCUGGUGGGGAUGCGCGUAUCACUUGUCAAGUGUUGUGCGCCCGGGCCGUGUCGGACUGUCUUGCCAGUGCACUUUCUCGGAGUAGUCACCACGACCGGCGUUGCUGUCUUGCUGUUGCGGUUAAACCGGCCUUGUAGGGUCCUCGUGAUCUUGCUUGGUCGGGAUGGCAGGUGACCCGUUGUGUACUCUGUGCGCCUCGGGUGUAAUCGCUGACUGCAUCAGUUUUGUGCGGUACGUCGGAGACGGCGGCUUGUAGUGCGUGCGUGCGUGCCCUGUGCGCUGGCGGCGCUGAGUCUGGUUGUCAUGUUGCUUGUGAAUGCAGGCCUGGCGAUGGCUCGGUGUUGUUCGGUGUGCGGUUGCGUGCGUGGCACAUUAAAGGGCCAACAGUCUGUGGUGUAGUGGUAGACUAUCCACCUGACCCGUCUUGAAACACGGACCAAGGAGAGUAACAUGUGCGCGAGUCAUUGGGCGUUACGAAACCCAAAGGCGCAGUGAAAGUAAAGGUUCGGCUUGUCCGGACUGAGGUGAGAUCCUGUCGUUUCUCACGCGUGGUACCACCAAGCAUCGAGCGGCAGGCGCAUCACCGGCCCGUCCCAUGGCGUAGAAGCAGCCUCGUGCUAGCUCACCGCCGGGGCGGAGCAUGAGCGUACAUGUUGAGACCCGAAAGAUGGUGAACUAUGCUUGCGCAGGUUGAAGCCAGAGGAAACUCUGGUGGAGGACCGCAGCGAUUCUGACGUGCAAAUCGAUCGUCAAACGUGAGUAUAGGGGCGAAAGACUAAUCGAACCAUCUAGUAGCUGGUUCCCUCCGAAGUUUCCC
This 1370-nucleotide ribosomal RNA is filed under the name Echinochasmus japonicus. RNAcentral describes it as "eukaryotic LSU rRNA". It matches the Rfam family "Eukaryotic large subunit ribosomal RNA", at positions 1 to 972 of the family's 3401-position model. Lineage: Eukaryota; Metazoa; Platyhelminthes; Trematoda; Plagiorchiida; Echinochasmidae. The record is from RNAcentral.